This 662-nucleotide ribosomal RNA is filed under the name uncultured Streptomyces sp. RNAcentral describes it as "bacterial SSU rRNA". It matches the Rfam family "Bacterial small subunit ribosomal RNA", at positions 219 to 893 of the family's 1533-position model. The record is from RNAcentral. Lineage: Bacteria; Bacillati; Actinomycetota; Actinomycetes; Kitasatosporales; Streptomycetaceae.
GAAUUCCAAGCUUCGCGGCCUAUCAGCUUGUUGGUGAGGUAGUGGCUCACCAAGGCGACGACGGGUAGCCGGCCUGAGAGGGCGACCGGCCACACUGGGACUGAGACACGGCCCAGACUCCUACGGGAGGCAGCAGUGGGGAAUAUUGCACAAUGGGCGAAAGCCUGAUGCAGCGACGCCGCGUGAGGGAUGACGGCCUUCGGGUUGUAAACCUCUUUCAGCAGGGAAGAAACGAAAGUGACGGUACCUGCAGAAGAAGCGCCGGCUAACUACGUGCCAGCAGCCGCGGUAAUACGUAGGGCGCAAGCGUUGUCCGGAAUUAUUGGGCGUAAAGAGCUCGUAGGCGGCUUGUCACGUCGGUUGUGAAAGCCCGGGGCUUAACCCCGGGUCUGCAGUCGAUACGGGCAGGCUAGAGUUCGGUAGGGGAGAUCGGAAUUCCUGGUGUAGCGGUGAAAUGCGCAGAUAUCAGGAGGAACACCGGUGGCGAAGGCGGAUCUCUGGGCCGAUACUGACGCUGAGGAGCGAAAGCGUGGGGAGCGAACAGGAUUAGAUACCCUGGUAGUCCACGCCGUAAACGGUGGGCACUAGGUGUGGGCAACAUUCCACGUUGUCCGUGCCGCAGCUAACGCAUUAAGUGCCCCGCCUGGGGAGUACGGAGAUCU